GACAGCGUGGCAUAGUGGUCUGAGCAUUGGACUUUGAUUCUGGAGAACAGGGUUCGAAUUCCCGCUCAGCUG
Non-coding RNA from Phrynosoma platyrhinos (Desert horned lizard), 72 nucleotides. Lineage: Eukaryota; Metazoa; Chordata; Lepidosauria; Squamata; Phrynosomatidae. The record is from the annotation of a GenBank genome assembly.